GGCCGUGUGGCGAAAUGGCAUCGCGUCUGACUACGAUACAUAUCGUGUUCGUAUCUAUAAUCAGGAGAUUGCAGGUUCGACCCCUGUCUCGGUCA
Non-coding RNA from Lyophyllum atratum, 95 nucleotides. Lineage: Eukaryota; Fungi; Basidiomycota; Agaricomycetes; Agaricales; Lyophyllaceae. The record is from the annotation of a GenBank genome assembly.